AUUGAACGCUGGCGGCAUGCUUUACACAUGCAAGUCGAACGGCAGCGCGGGCUUCGGCCUGGCGGCGAGUGGCGAACGGGUGAGUAAUGCAUCGGAACGUGCCCAGUAGUGGGGGAUAGCCCGGCGAAAGCCGGAUUAAUACCGCAUACGACCUGAGGGUGAAAGCGGGGGACCGAAAGGCCUCGCGCUAUUGGAGCGGCCGAUGUCGGAUUAGCUAGUUGGUGGGGUAAAGGCUUACCAAGGCGACGAUCCGUAGCUGGUCUGAGAGGACGACCAGCCACACUGGGACUGAGACACGGCCCAGACUCCUACGGGAGGCAGCAGUGGGGAAUGUUGGACAAUGGGGGCAACCCUGAUCCAGACAUGCCGCGUGCGGGAAGAAGGCCUUCGGGUUGUAAACCGCUUUUGUUCGGGAAGAAGUCCUCUGGGCUAAUACCCCGGGGGGAUGACGGUACCGGAAGAAUAAGCACCGGCUAACUACGUG
RNAcentral lists this ribosomal RNA (484 nucleotides) under uncultured bacterium. RNAcentral describes it as "partial 16S ribosomal RNA". It matches the Rfam family "Bacterial small subunit ribosomal RNA", at positions 28 to 507 of the family's 1533-position model. The record is from RNAcentral.